AAUGAACGCUGGCGGCGCGCCUAAUACAUGCAAGUCGAGCGAGAAGACGUAGCAAUACGUUUGUAAAGCGGCGAACGGGUGAGGAAUACAUGGGUAACCUACCCUCGAGUGGGGAAUAACUAGCCGAAAGGUUAGCUAAUACCGCGUACGCUCCUUGGACUUCGGUUCAGGGAGGAAAGCGAUACCGUGGGUAUCGCGCUCUUGGUUGGGCUCAUGUCCUAUCAGCUUGUUGGUGAGGUAACGGCUCACCAAGGCUUCGACGGGUAGCUGGUCUGAGAGGACGAUCAGCCACACUGGCACUGCGACACGGGCCAGACUCCUACGGGAGGCAGCAGUAAGGAAUAUUGCGCAAUGGGCAAAGCCUGACGCAGCAACGCCGCGUGGGGGAUGACGGCCUCGGUU
Molecule: ribosomal RNA, 402 nt
Filed under: uncultured bacterium
Lineage: Bacteria
Description: bacterial SSU rRNA
Rfam family: Bacterial small subunit ribosomal RNA
Source: RNAcentral